AACGUAGGUCACAAGCGUUGUCCGGAAUUACUGGGUGUAAAGGGAGCGCAGGCGGGAAGACAAGUUGGAAGUGAAAUCCAUGGGCUCAACUCAUGAACUGCUUUCAAAACUGUUUUUCUUGAGUAGUGCAGAGGUAGGCGGAAUUCCCGGUGUAGCGGUGGAAUGCGUAGAUAUCGGGAGGAACACCAGUGGCGAAGGCGGCCUACUGGGCACCAACUGACGCUGAGGCUCGAAAGUGUGGGUAGCAAACAGG
RNAcentral lists this ribosomal RNA (253 nucleotides) under Faecalibacterium prausnitzii. Its description in RNAcentral is "partial 16S ribosomal RNA". It matches the Rfam family "Bacterial small subunit ribosomal RNA", at positions 524 to 776 of the family's 1533-position model. The record is from RNAcentral. Lineage: Bacteria; Bacillati; Bacillota; Clostridia; Eubacteriales; Oscillospiraceae.